This 468-nucleotide ribosomal RNA is filed under the name uncultured bacterium. RNAcentral describes it as "partial 16S ribosomal RNA". It matches the Rfam family "Bacterial small subunit ribosomal RNA", at positions 28 to 507 of the family's 1533-position model. The record is from RNAcentral.
GACGAACGCUGGCGGCGUGCUUAACACAUGCAAGUCGAACGGAAAGGCCCUGCUUUUGUGGGGUGCUCGAGUGGCGAACGGGUGAGUAACACGUGAGUAACCUGCCCUUGACUUUGGGAUAACUUUAGGAAACUGGGGCUCAUACCGGAUAGGAGCUCCUGCUGCAUGGUGGGGGUUGGAAAGUUUCGGCGGUUGGGGAUGGACUGGCGGCUUAUCAGCUUGUUGGUGGGGUAGUGGCUUACCAAGGCUUUGACGGGUAGCCGGCCUGAGAGGGUGACCGGCCACAUGGGGACUGAGAUACGGCCCAGAAGCCUACCGGAGGCAGAAGUGGAGGGUAUUGCGCAAUGGGCGGAAGCCAGAUGCAGCAACGUCGCGAGCGGGAUGACGGCCUUCGAGUUGUAAACCGAUGUCGACUGUGACAAAGCGGUAGUGACGGUAAUGGGUAAGGAAGCAACGGCUAACUACGUG